This 177-nucleotide non-coding RNA is filed under the name Chryseobacterium piperi. The record is from RNAcentral. Lineage: Bacteria; Pseudomonadati; Bacteroidota; Flavobacteriia; Flavobacteriales; Weeksellaceae.
UUAUCUUUGCAAAACUUUGGUUUUCAAGCUAUUGAAAAUAAUAGGGAAUUGGGUGAAAAUCCCAAACUGUCCCCGCAACUGUAAAUCGCAAUAAUUAUUUCUAUAACAAACCACUGUGAAAACGGGAAGGUAUAGAAAAGUGAAAGUCAGGAGACCUGCCAAAAUGAUAACUCAAAA